Molecule: ribosomal RNA, 487 nt
Filed under: uncultured bacterium
Lineage: Bacteria
Description: bacterial SSU rRNA
Rfam family: Bacterial small subunit ribosomal RNA
Source: RNAcentral
GCUUGAAAACAGGUGCUGCACGGCUGUCGUCAGCUCGUGUCGUGAGAUGUUGGGUUAAGUCCCGCAACGAGCGCAACCCUCGUCCUUAGUUGCCAGCAGGUUAAGCUGGGCACUCUAAGGAGACUGCCUUCGCAAGGAGGAGGAAGGUGAGGACGACGUCAAGUCAUCAUGGCCCUUAUGGCUAGGGCUACACACGUGCUACAAUGGGGCGUACAGAGAGUUGCGAUACCGCGAGGUGGAGCCAAUCUCAUAAAGCGUCUCUCAGUUCGGAUUGUUCUCUGCAACUCGAGAGCAUGAAGCUGGAAUCACUAGUAAUCGUAGAUCAGCAAUGCUACGGUGAAUACGUUCCCGGGUCUUGUACUCACCGCCCGUCACACCAUGGGAGUUGAUUUCACCCGAAAUCGGGAAGCUAACCUUCGGGAGGCUACCGCUUACGGUGGAAUUAGCGACUGGGGUGAAGUCGUAACAAGGUAACCUUAAUUAAAAA